CGUUGGAGAUUUGAGAGGAUCUGUCCUUAGUACGAGAGGACCGGGAUGGACGAACCUCUGGUGUUCCAGUUGUGCCGCCAGGCGCAGCGCUGGGUAGCUAUGUUCGGACCGGAUAACCGCUGAAAGCAUCUAAGCGGGAAACCGACCUCAAGAUUAGAUCUCCCGGGCCUUCGGGUCCCUAAAGGCCCCUCGAAGAUCACGAGGUUGAUAGGCCAGGUGUGUAAGCGCAGUAAUGCGUUCAGCUAACUGGUACUAAUAGGCCGU
Molecule: non-coding RNA, 264 nt
Filed under: Desulfobacca acetoxidans DSM 11109
Lineage: Bacteria; Pseudomonadati; Thermodesulfobacteriota; Desulfobaccia; Desulfobaccales; Desulfobaccaceae
Description: Bacterial large subunit ribosomal RNA
Rfam family: Bacterial large subunit ribosomal RNA
Source: Rfam by way of RNAcentral